RNAcentral lists this ribosomal RNA (228 nucleotides) under uncultured bacterium. Its description in RNAcentral is "partial 16S ribosomal RNA". It matches the Rfam family "Bacterial small subunit ribosomal RNA", at positions 568 to 795 of the family's 1533-position model. The record is from RNAcentral.
UACGUAGGCGGAAAAUUAAGUCAGUAGUGAAAUCCUGCAGCUUAACUGUAGAACUGUUAUUGAUACUGGUUUUCUUGAAUUUAGUUGAGGUAGGCGGAAUGUGUAAUGUAGCGGUGAAAUGCUUAGAUAUUACACAGAACACCGAUUGCGAAGGCAGCUUACUAAACUAUUAUUGACGCUGAGGUACGAAAGCGUGGGGAGCGAACAGGAUUAGAUACCCUGGUAGUC